Molecule: ribosomal RNA, 1256 nt
Filed under: uncultured bacterium
Lineage: Bacteria
Description: bacterial SSU rRNA
Rfam family: Bacterial small subunit ribosomal RNA
Source: RNAcentral
AGUAACGCGUGAGGGAACCUGCCUUUCAGUGGGGGACAACAGUUGGAAACGACUGCUAAUACCGCAUGAUACUUUUUGGAGGCAUCUCUGAAAAGUCAAAGCUUUAUGUGCUGAAAGAUGGUCUCGCGUCUGAUUAGAUAGUAGGCGGGGUAACGGCCCACCUAGUCUUCGAUGGAUAGGGGUUCUGAGAGGAAGGUCCCCCACAUUGGAACUGAGACACGGUCCAAACUCCUACGGGAGGCAGCAGUGAGGAAUAUUGGUCAAUGGACGAGAGUCUGAACCAGCCAAGUAGCGUGAAGGAUGAAGGUUCUAUGGAUUGUAAACUUCUUUUAUACGGGAAUAAACGGAUCCACGUGUGGAUUUUUGCAUGUACCGUAUGAAUAAGGAUCGGCUAACUCCGUGCCAGCAGCCGCGGUAAUACGGAGGAUCCGAGCGUUAUCCGGAUUUAUUGGGUUUAAAGGGAGCGUAGAUGGGUUGUUAAGUCAGUUGUGAAAGUUUGCGGCUCAACCGUAAAAUUGCAAUUGAUACUGGCAGUCUUGAGUACAGUUGAGGUAGGCGGAAUUCGUGGUGUAGCGGUGAAAUGCUUAGAUAUCACGAAGAACUCCGAUUGCGAAGGCAGCUUACUAACCUGUAACUGACAUUGAUGCUCGAAAGUGUGGGUAUCAAACAGGAUUAGAUACCCUGGUAGUCCACACGGUAAACGAUGAAUACUCGCUGUUUGCGAUAUACAGCAAGCGGCCAAGCGAAAGCGUUAAGUAUUCCACCUGGGGAGUACGCCGGCAACGGUGAAACUCAAAGGAAUUGACGGGGGCCCGCACAAGCGGAGGAACAUGUGGUUUAAUUCGAUGAUACGCGAGGAACCUUACCCGGGCUUAAAUUGCAGAUGAAUUACGGUGAAAGCCGUAAGCCGCAAGGCAUCUGUGAAGGUGCUGCAUGGUUGUCGUCAGCUCGUGCCGUGAGGUGUCGGCUUAAGUGCCAUAACGAGCGCAACCCUUGUUGUCAGUUACUAACAGGUUCCGCUGAGGACUCUGACAAGACUGCCAUCGUAAGAUGUGAGGAAGGUGGGGAUGACGUCAAAUCAGCACGGCCCUUACGUCCAGGGCUACACACGUGUUACAAUGGGGGGUACAGAGGGCCGCUACCACGCGAGAGGAUGCCAAUCCCCAAAACCUCUCUCAGUUCGGACUGGAGUCUGCAACCCGACUCCACGAAGCUGGAUUCGAAAGUAAUCGCGCAUCAGCCACGGCGCGGUGAAU